RNAcentral lists this ribosomal RNA (858 nucleotides) under Fannyhessea vaginae. Its description in RNAcentral is "bacterial SSU rRNA". It matches the Rfam family "Bacterial small subunit ribosomal RNA", at positions 28 to 895 of the family's 1533-position model. Lineage: Bacteria; Bacillati; Actinomycetota; Coriobacteriia; Coriobacteriales; Atopobiaceae. The record is from RNAcentral.
GAUGAACGCUGGCGGCGCGCCUAACACAUGUCAAGUCGAACGGUUAAAGCAUCUUCGGAUGUGUAUAAAGUGGCGAACGGCUGAGUAACACGUGGGCAACCUGAGCCUUUGCACUGGGAUAGCCUCGGGAAACCGAGGUUAAUACCGGAUACUCCAUAUUUGUCGCAUGGCGAAUAUGGGAAAGCUCCGGCGGCAAAGGAUGGGCCCGCGGCCUGUUAGCUAGUUGGUGGGGUAGUGGCCUACCAAGGCAAUGAUGGGUAGCCGGGUUGAGAGACCGACCGGCCAGAUUGGGACUGAGACACGGCCCAGACUCCUACGGGAGGCAGCAGUGGGGAAUCUUGCACAAUGGGCGAAAGCCUGAUGCAGCGACGCCGCGUGCGGGAUGAAGGCCUUCGGGUUGUAAACCGCUUUCAGCAGGGGCGAGGCCGCAAGGUGACGGUACCUGCAGAAGAAGCCCCGGCUAACUACGUGCCAGCAGCCGCGGUAAUACGUAGGGGGCAAGCGUUAUCCGGAUUCAUUGGGCGUAAAGCGCGCGUAGGCGGUCUGUUAGGUCAGGAGUUAAAUCUGGGGGCUCAACCCCUAUCCGCUCCUGAUACCGGCAGGCUUGAGUCUGGUAGGGGAAGAUGGGAAUUCCAAGUGUAGCGGUGAAAUGCGCAGAUAUUUGGAAGAACACCGGUGGCGAAGGCGGUCUUCUGGGCCAUGACUGACGCUGAGGCGCGAAAGCUAGGGGAGCGAACAGGAUUAGAUACCCUGGUAGUCCUAGCUGUAAACGAUGGACACUAGGUGUGGGGAGAUUAUACUUUCCGUGCCGCAGCUAACGCAUUAAGUGUCCCGCCUGGGGAGUACGGUCGCAAGACU